AGCAGCCGCGGUAAUUCCAGCUCCAAUAGCGUAUAUUAAAGUUGUUGCAGUUAAAAAGCUCGUAGUUGAAUUUCGGGGUCUGUCCGUCGGUCGGGCUUCACAGUCCGUACUGGUGUGAUGGGUUCCUACCUUCUGAAUAACCGGCAUGCCAUUCAGUUGGUGCGCCGGGGAAGCAGAGCUAUUACCUUGAAAAAUUAGAGUGCUUAAAGCAGGCUAGUGCUUGAAUAGAUUAGCAUGGAAUAAUAAAAUAGGACGGCAUGGUUCUAUUUUGUUGGUUUCUAGGAUCACCGUAAUGAUUAAUAGGGAUAGUUGGGGGCAUUAGUAUUCAAUUGUCAGAGGUGAAAUUCUUGGAUUUAUUGAAGACUAACUUCUGCGAAAGCAUUUGCCAAGGAUGUUUUCAUUAAUCAAGAACGAAAGUUAGGGGAUCGAAGACGAUCAGAUACCGUCGUAGUCUUAACCAUAAACUAUGCCGACUAGGGAUCGGACGAUGUUAAUUUUUAAUGACUCGUUCGGCGUACCG
This 520-nucleotide unclassified non-coding RNA is filed under the name uncultured Acaulospora. Its description in RNAcentral is "SSU rRNA". It matches the Rfam family "Eukaryotic small subunit ribosomal RNA", at positions 569 to 1088 of the family's 1831-position model. Lineage: Eukaryota; Fungi; Glomeromycota; Glomeromycetes; Diversisporales; Acaulosporaceae. The record is from RNAcentral.